Molecule: long non-coding RNA, 320 nt
Organism: Arachis duranensis
Lineage: Eukaryota; Viridiplantae; Streptophyta; Magnoliopsida; Fabales; Fabaceae
Exons: 3
Source: RefSeq, a predicted model, not a curated record
CCCCUAUGCUACAGAUUGAAGGGGCUAGAGAAACCACUCCUGAAACCCCCAAACAACUUCAAGAAACAACACCCAAGCUUCCCCCAGCUCCAACAAAAAUUCAUCCAGACGCAGAGGACGCUGCUGCCCUGUUGAUGAUGGCACGGACAGCAAGCUAUGUUCCUAAAACAGAUCCGGGGAUGCCAUCAUUCAGCCUCGGAUUGACAGAUUCAAGCCAGGAGUGGGCGUCGACGCAGGAGACAGAAAGGGAAAAAUCUCCAGAAACUGCAACUAUGCUAGAACAAUUGGACAGUUUGGUCCAAAAAUUAGCAAGCAGUGCG